UACGGAGGGAGCUAGCGUUAUUCGGAAUUACUGGGCGUAAAGCGUACGUAGGCGGCUUUGUAAGUAAGAGGUGAAAGCCCGGAGCUCAACUCCGGAACUGCCUUUUAGACUGCAUCGCUUGAAUCCAGGAGAGGUGAGUGGAAUUCCGAGUGUAGAGGUGAAAUUCGUAGAUAUUCGGAAGAACACCAGUGGCGAAGGCGGCUCACUGGACUGGUAUUGACGCUGAGGUACGAAAGCGUGGGUAGCAAACAGG
RNAcentral lists this ribosomal RNA (253 nucleotides) under uncultured bacterium. Its description in RNAcentral is "partial 16S ribosomal RNA". It matches the Rfam family "Bacterial small subunit ribosomal RNA", at positions 524 to 776 of the family's 1533-position model. The record is from RNAcentral.